AUCCUUCAAUAGGUAGCAUUUCCCAAGAUGCCUUGCGGGCCGGCCAGCAGAAAAACUUAAAAACAAUGGCGGACAGUGAAGCGGGAGCUGUUGGAGAGGAUUGCGCAUAUAAAUGUAAGUAUAAACUUGAAAACUGUUAGGUUAAGGACUUUUUGUGAUACAUGAACGUUAUUUUAGUUAGAAAUGUUACAGUAAAAGUGCUUGUAUUGCGGUCUCGGCUCGUAUGUUCGGCCGCGCUCGGUGUCGUACUUCUCCCACUACGUUUCCCCCUGAUUUUAAUAGAAGUUUGUAUUUUAGGAACAAAAGAGAAAACCAGGGAAUUUAUUAAGCUUAGGGCGGAGAUGGACCACAUGAUCACCGGAGCAAAGUAUUCGGCGGCUGUGGCAUGGAGACUAUUCUGGAGAAAAUGGGCAUCCAGGGGAAGGUGCCAGCGAUGAGCUUCUGGAGCUGAUCUGGGAGGAAUUGAGGCUGCAGAGGGAGGCAGAGCAGCAGAGGGCACAGGAGAGAAGGGAGAAUUUUGACAGCUUUUUACUUUGCUAGAAAAAAAUGGUUAAGGAAGAUUAAACAUGUACAUAUAAAAGAAAUAUCUAAAUAAAAUCAGUUCUGCAUUAAA
Nothobranchius furzeri (turquoise killifish) is the source of this 613-nucleotide non-coding RNA. The record is from RefSeq and is a predicted model, not a curated record. NCBI's taxonomy places the organism in Eukaryota, Metazoa, Chordata, Actinopteri, Cyprinodontiformes, Nothobranchiidae.